This 497-nucleotide ribosomal RNA is filed under the name uncultured bacterium. Its description in RNAcentral is "partial 16S ribosomal RNA". It matches the Rfam family "Bacterial small subunit ribosomal RNA", at positions 28 to 507 of the family's 1533-position model. The record is from RNAcentral.
GAUGAACGCUGGCGGCGUGCCUAAUACAUGCAAGUCGAGCGAACGUACGAGAACCUUCCUUCUCUGAUCUUUGCGGCGGACGGGUGAAUAACACGUGGAUAACCUACCUAUAACACUGGGAUAACUUCGGGAAACCGGCGCUAAUACCGGAUAAUAUUUUGAACCGCAUGGUUCAAAAGUGAAAGACGGUGUUGCUGUCACUUAUAGAUGGAUCCGCGCUGCAUUAGCUAGUUGGUAAGGUAACGGCUUACGAAGGCAACGAUGCAUAGCCGACCUGAGAGAGUGAUCGCCCACACGGGAACUGAGCCGCGCACCCUACGCCUACGGGAGGCAGCAGUAGCGAACCGUCGGCAACAGGGGAAAGUCUUACGGAGCAACGGAGCGUGAGUGAUGAAGGUCCUCGGAGCGUAAAACCCUGUUAUGAGGGAAGAACAUAUGUGUAAGUAAAUGAGCACAUCUUGACGGUACCUACUCAGAAAGCAACGGCUAACUACGUG